UUAAGCGACUAAGCGUACACGGUGGAUGCCCUGGCAGUCAGAGGCGAUGAAGGACGUGCUAAUCUGCGAAAAGCGUCGGUAAGGUGAUAUGAACCGUUAUAGCCGGCGAUGUCCGAAUGGGGAAACCCAGUGCAAUUCGUUGCACUAUCGUUUGAUGAAUACAUAGUCAAACGAGGCGAACCGGGGGAACUGAAACAUCUAAGUACCCCGAGGAAAAGAAAUCAACCGAGAUUCCCCCAGUAGCGGCGAGCGAACGGGGAGCAGCCCGGAGUCUGAAUCAGCUUGUGUGUUAGUGGAAGCGUCUGGAAAGUCGCAGGGUACAGGGUGAUACUCCCGUACACUAAAGCACACAGGUUGUGAACUCGAAGAGUAGGGCGGGACACGUGGUAUCCUGUCUGAAUAUGGGGGGACCAUCCUCCAAGGCUAAAUACUCCUGACUGACCGAUAGUGAACCAGUACCGUGAGGGAAAGGCGAAAAGAACCCCGGCGAGGGGAGUGAAAAAGAACCUGAAACCGUGUACGUACAAGCAGUAGGAGCCUCUUUAUGGGGUGACUGCGUACCUUUUGUAUAAUGGGUCAGCGACUUAUAUUCUGUAGCAAGGUUAACCGUAUAGGGGAGCCGCAGGGAAACCGAGUCUUAACUGGGCGUUAAGUUGCAGGGUAUAGACCCGAAACCCGGUGAUCUAGCCAUGGGCAGGUUGAAGGUUGGGUAACACUAACUGGAGGACCGAACCGACUAAUGUUGAAAAAUUAGCGGAUGACUUGUGGCUGGGGGUGAAAGGCCAAUCAAACCGGGAGAUAGCUGGUUCUCCCCGAAAGCUAUUUAGGUAGCGCCUCGUGAACUCAUCUUCGGGGGUAGAGCACUGUUUCGGCUAGGGGGUCAUCCCGACUUACCAACCCGAUGCAAACUACGAAUACCGAAGAAUGUUAUCACGGGAGACACACGGCGGGUGCUAACGUCCGUCGUGAAGAGGGAAACAACCCAGACCGCCAGCUAAGGUCCCAAAGUCAUGGUUAAGUGGGAAACGAUGUGGGAAGGCCCAGACAGCCAGGAUGUUGGCUUAGAAGCAGCCAUCAUUUAAAGAAAGCGUAAUAGCUCACUGGUCGAGUCGGCCUGCGCGGAAGAUGUAACGGGGCUAAACCAUGCACCGAAGCUGCGGCAGCGACACUAUGUGUUGUUGGGUAGGGGAGCGUUCUGUAAGCCGUUGAAGGUGGCCUGUGAGGGUUGCUGGAGGUAUCAGAAGUGCGAAUGCUGACAUAAGUAACGAUAAUGCGGGUGAAAAACCCGCACGCCGGAAGACCAAGGGUUCCUGUCCAACGUUAAUCGGGGCAGGGUGAGUCGACCCCUAAGGCGAGGCCGAAAGGCGUAGUCGAUGGGAAACAGGUUAAUAUUCCUGUACUCGGUGUUACUGCGAAGGGGGGACGGAGAAGGCUAUGUUGGCCGGGCGACGGUUGUCCCGGUUUAAGCAUGUAGGCGGAUGUUCCAGGUAAAUCCGGAACGUUACUAACGCUGAGGUGUGAUGACGAGGCACUACGGUGCUGAAGUGACAAAUGCCCUGCUUCCAGGAAAAGCCUCUAAGCAUCAGGUAACAUCAAAUCGUACCCCAAACCGACACAGGUGGUCAGGUAGAGAAUACCAAGGCGCUUGAGAGAACUCGGGUGAAGGAACUAGGCAAAAUGGUGCCGUAACUUCGGGAGAAGGCACGCUGAUAUGUAGGUGAAGUGGUUUACCCAUGGAGCUGAAAUCAGUCGAAGAUACCAGCUGGCUGCAACUGUUUAUUAAAAACACAGCACUGUGCAAACACGAAAGUGGACGUAUACGGUGUGACGCCUGCCCGGUGCCGGAAGGUUAAUUGAUGGGGUUAUCCGUAAGGAGAAGCUCUUGAUCGAAGCCCCGGUAAACGGCGGCCGUAACUAUAACGGUCCUAAGGUAGCGAAAUUCCUUGUCGGGUAAGUUCCGACCUGCACGAAUGGCGUAAUGAUGGCCAGGCUGUCUCCACCCGAGACUCAGUGAAAUUGAACUCGCUGUGAAGAUGCAGUGUACCCGCGGCAAGACGGAAAGACCCCGUGAACCUUUACUAUAGCUUGACACUGAACACUGGUCCUUGAUGUGUAGGAUAGGUGGGAGGCUUUGAAGCGUGGACGCCAGUCUGCGUGGAGCCAUCCUUGAAAUACCACCCUUUAAUGGCUGGUGUUCUAACGUGGGCCCGUUAUCCGGGUUGCGGACAGUGUCUGGUGGGUAGUUUGACUGGGGCGGUCUCCUCCUAAAGAGUAACGGAGGAGCACGAAGGUCAGCUAAUCCUGGUCGGACAUCAGGAGGUUAGUGCAAUGGCAUAAGCUGGCUUGACUGCGAGCGUGACGGCGCGAGCAGGUGCGAAAGCAGGUCAUAGUGAUCCGGUGGUUCUGAAUGGAAGGGCCAUCGCUCAACGGAUAAAAGGUACUCCGGGGAUAACAGGCUGAUACCGCCCAAGAGUUCAUAUCGACGGCGGUGUUUGGCACCUCGAUGUCGGCUCAUCACAUCCUGGGGCUGAAGUAGGUCCCAAGGGUAUGGCUGUUCGCCAUUUAAAGUGGUACGCGAGCUGGGUUUAGAACGUCGUGAGACAGUUCGGUCCCUAUCUGCCGUGGGCGCUGGAGAAUUGAGGGGGGCUGCUCCUAGUACGAGAGGACCGGAGUGGACGCAUCACUGGUGUUCGGGUUGUCAUGCCAAUGGCAUUGCCCGGUAGCUAAAUGCGGAAGAGAUAAGUGCUGAAAGCAUCUAAGCACGAAACUUGCCCCGAGAUGAGUUCUCCCUGACUCCUUGAGAGUCCUGAAGGAACGUUGAAGACGACGACGUUGAUAGGCCGGGUGUGUAAGCGCAGCGAUGCGUUGAGCUAACCGGUACUAAUGAACCGUGAGGCUUAACCUU
RNAcentral lists this ribosomal RNA (2905 nucleotides) under Klebsiella oxytoca. RNAcentral's name for it is "bacterial LSU rRNA". It matches the Rfam family "Bacterial large subunit ribosomal RNA". Lineage: Bacteria; Pseudomonadati; Pseudomonadota; Gammaproteobacteria; Enterobacterales; Enterobacteriaceae. The record is from RNAcentral.